This 1837-nucleotide ribosomal RNA is filed under the name Hevea brasiliensis (rubber tree). RNAcentral describes it as "SSU rRNA". It matches the Rfam family "Eukaryotic small subunit ribosomal RNA". The record is from RNAcentral. Lineage: Eukaryota; Viridiplantae; Streptophyta; Magnoliopsida; Malpighiales; Euphorbiaceae.
GAUAGUCAUUAUGCUUGUCUCAAAGAUUAAGCCAUGCAUGUGGAAGUAUGAAAUAAUUCAGACUGUGAAACUGCGAAUGGCUCAUUAAAUCAGUUAUAGUUUGUUUGAUGGUAAUCUGCUACGCGGAUAACCGUAGUAAUUCUAGAGCUAAUAGUGCAACAAACCCCCGACUUCUGGAAGGAUGCAUUUUAGAUAAAGGUCGACGCGGGCAUCUGCCGAUUGCUCUAUUGAUUCAUGAUAAAUCGUACGGAUCGCACGGCCAUCGUGCCGGCGACGAAUCAUUCAAAUUUCUGCCUAUCACUUUCGGAUGGUAGAUAGAGGCCUUACCAUUGGUGGUGGACGGGUGACGGAGAAUUAGGGUUCGAUUCCGGAGAGGGAGCCUGAGAAACGCUACCAAUCCAAGAGAAGAGCAGGCGCGCAAAUUAACCCAUCCUGACACGGGGAGGUAGUGACAAUACAAUAACAAUACCGGGGCUUUCGAGCAUCUGUAAUUGGAAUGACUACAUCAAAAUCCUAUAACGAGGAUCCAUUGGAGGGCAAGUUGGUGCCCAGCAGCCGCGGUAAUUUCCAGCUUCCAAUAGCGUAUUAUUUUAAGAUUUGUUGCAGUUUAAAAAGCUCGUAGUUGGACCUUGGGUUGCGGUCGACCGCGUUCCGCCUCGCGGUGUGCACCUGUCGGCUCGUCCCUUCUCCGGCGAUGCGCUCCUGGCCUUAACUGGCCGGGUGUAGCCUCCAGCGCUGUUACUUUGAAGAAAUAUAGAGUGCUCAAAGCAAGCCUACGCUCGGAUACAUGCAUGGGAUAACAUCAUAGGUUUCGGGGGUCCCUUAUUGGUGCUUGGCCUUCGGGAUCGGAGUAAUGAUUAACAGGGACAGUCGGGAUUCGUUAGUUCAUAGUCAGAUUGGUGAAAUUCUUGAUUUAUGAAAAGAACGAACAACUGCGAAAGCAUUUGCCAGAGGAUGUGUUUCAUGGUAAUCAAGAACGAAAGUUGGGGGCCUCGAAGACGAUCAGAUACCGUCCUAGUCUCAACCAUAAACGAUGCGACCACGGGAUCGGCGGAUGUUGCUUAGGACUUCGCGGACCUUAUGAAAAUCAAAGUCUUUGGGUUCCGGGGGAGUGAUGGUCGCAGGCUGAAACUUAAGGAAUUGACGGAAGGGCCACCACCAGGAGUGGAAGCCUGCCGGCUUUAAUUUGACUCAACCGGGGGGAACUUACCAGGUCCAGACAUAGUAAGGAUUGAAGACUGAGAGCUCUUUCUUGAUUCUAUUGGGGUGGUGGCUGCAUGGCCGUUUCCUUCAGUUGGGGAGCGAUUUGUCUGGUUAUUCGUACGAACGAGACCUCAAGAAACCUGCUAACUAGCAUAUAGCGGAGCGUUGAACCUCCGACGGCAGCUUCUUAGAGGGAUAUGGCAUUAAUUAGGCCAAGGAAGUUUGAGGCAAUAACAGAGAUUGAUGAUGCCCAUUAUAAAGAUCGUUCUGGGCCCGCACUGCGCAAAGAACUACACUGAUGUAUUUCAACGAGGUCUAUAGCCUUGGCCGACAGGCCCCCGGGUAAUCUUUGAAAUUUCAUCGUGCAUGGGGAUAGAUUUAUUGCAUUGUGGUCUUCAACGAGGAAUUCCUAGUAAGCUGCGAGUCAUCAGCUCGCGUUGACUACGUCCCUGCCCUUUACACACACGCCCGGUCGCCUCCUACCGACUUGAAUGGUCGGUGAAUGUGUUUCGGGAUCGCGGCGGGACGUGGGGGUUCGCCGCCGGCGACGUCGCGAGAAGUUCCACUGAACCUUAUCAAUUUAGAGGAAGGAGAAGUCUCGUUAACAAGGUUUCCGUAGGUGAACCUGCGGAAA